RNAcentral lists this ribosomal RNA (543 nucleotides) under uncultured bacterium. RNAcentral's name for it is "bacterial SSU rRNA". It matches the Rfam family "Bacterial small subunit ribosomal RNA", at positions 772 to 1319 of the family's 1533-position model. The record is from RNAcentral.
ACUCAAUAGAUACCCGGGUAGUCCACGCCCUAAACGAUGUCUACUAGUUGUCGGGUCUUAAUUGACUUGGUAAACGCAGCUAAACGCGUGAAGUAGACCGCCUGGGGAGUACGGUCGCAAGAUUAAAACUCAAAGGAAUUGACGGGGACCCGCACAAGCGGUGGAUGAUGUGGAUUAAUUCGAUGCAACGCGAAAAACCUUACCUACCCUUGACAUGGAAGGAAUCCCUGAGAGACCGGGGAGUGCUCGAAAGAGAACCUUUACACAGGUGCUGCAUGGCUGUCGUCAGCUCGUGUCGUGAGAUGUUGGGUUAAGUCCCGCAACGAGCGCAACCCUUGUCAUUAGUUGCUACGAAAGGGCACUCUAAUGAGACUGCCGGUGACAAACCGGAGGAAGGUGGGGAUGACGUCAAGUCCUCAUGGCCCUUAUGGGUAGGGCUUCACACGUCAUACAAUGGUACAUACAGAGGGCCGCCAACCCGCGAGGGGGAGCUAAUCCCAGAAAGUGUAUCGUAGUCCGGAUUGUAGUCUGCAACUCGACUGC